This 513-nucleotide ribosomal RNA is filed under the name uncultured bacterium. Its description in RNAcentral is "partial 16S ribosomal RNA". It matches the Rfam family "Bacterial small subunit ribosomal RNA", at positions 355 to 858 of the family's 1533-position model. The record is from RNAcentral.
UAGGGAAUCUUCCACAAUGGACGCAAGUCUGAUGGAGCAACGCCGCGUGAGUGAAGAAGGUCUUCGGAUCGUAAAGCUCUGUUGUUGGUGAAGAAGGAUAGAGGCAGUAACUGGUCUUUAUUUGACGGUAAUCAACCAGAAAGUCACGGCUAACUACGUGCCAGCAGCCGCGGUAAUACGUAGGUGGCAAGCGUUGUCCGGAUUUAUUGGGCGUAAAGCGAGCGCAGGCGGAAUGAUAAGUCUGAUGUGAAAGCCCACGGCUCAACCGUGGAACUGCAUCGGAAACUGUCAUUCUUGAGUGCAGAAGAGGAGAGUGGAACUCCAUGUGUAGCGGUGGAAUGCGUAGAUAUAUGGAAGAACACCAGUGGCGAAGGCGGCUCUCUGGUCUGCAACUGACGCUGAGGCUCGAAAGCAUGGGUAGCGAACAGGAUUAGAUACCCUGGUAGUCCAUGCCGUAAACGAUGAGCGCUAGGUGUUGGGGACUUUCCGGUCCUCAGUGCCGCAGCAAAACGC